UUUAAUAUAAAUAAAUAUUUUAAUAAAUUUAAAUUUUUUUUAAUAAAUUAAUUUAUAAUAAAUUUAAUAUUUAUAAUGAUUAUUAUUAUGAGAGUAAUAAUAGAAAAUUAAUUAUUAUUAUUAAUAAAAUUAAGUGCCAGCAAUUGCGGUUAAACUUAUAAUGAAAAUAAAUUAAAUUAAUUGAAUAAUUAGAUAGGAAAGAUUAGAUUUAUUUUGAAAAAAAUUAAGUUAAUAUAGUUUAAUAUUUUUAGUGAAAUAUAAUAUUUUUAAGGAUUAAUUUAGGAAAAAAUAUAAAAUUUAAAUAAAUUUUAAAAGAAAUUAGGAUUAGAUACCCUAUUAUUUUAAUGACAAUAAGAUUGAUUAAAUAAUAAAUGUAAAUCAUUAAAAAUAAAAAAUUUGGCGGUAAUUUAUAAAAUUAGAGGAACUUGUUGAUUAAUUUGAUAUUCCACGAAUGGAUUUACUUAGUGUUAAAUAAAAAUUUUUAUAUAUUGUUGUUGAAAUUAUUUUAAGAGAUUUAUAAUUAAUAAAUUAUGAUUUUAUAAUUUAAAUAAUCUAAAUUCAAAUCAAAAUGUAGAAUAAUUAAGAUUUAAAUGAGUUACAUUAAAGUAAAUUAUAUUAUUUAAAUAAAAUUUUGAUUAUUUUAUUAAAAAUGGAUUUAAUUGUAAAUUUAUAUAAAUUUAUAAAUUGAAUAUUAUUUAUAUUAUGUACAAAUUGCCCGUCAUUCUUGAAAUUUAAAAUUUUUAGAAAAGUCGAAACAAAGUAAAUAUACUGGAAGGUGUAUUUAGAUUUUA
This 791-nucleotide non-coding RNA is filed under the name Lasius spathepus. Lineage: Eukaryota; Metazoa; Arthropoda; Insecta; Hymenoptera; Formicidae. The record is from RNAcentral.